AGAUUGAACGCUGGCGGCAUGCCUUACACAUGCAAGUCGAACGGUAGAGUAGCAAUACUCGAGAGUGGCGAACGGGUGAGUAAUAUAUCGGAACAUGCCCAGUCGUGGGGGAUAACGUAGAGAAAUUUACGCUAAUACCGCAUACGAUCUACGGAUGAAAGCGGGGGAUUCGCAAGAACCUCGCGCGAUUGGAGCGGCUGAUAUCAGAUUAGGUUGUUGGUGAGGUAAAAGCUCACCAAGCCGACGAUCUGUAGCUGGUUUGAGAGAACGACCAGCCACACUGGGACUGAGACACGGCCCAGACUCCUACGGGAGGCAGCAGUGGGAAUUUUGGACAAUGGGGAAACCCUGAUCCAGCCAUCCCGCGUGUGCGAUGAAGGCCUUCGGUUGUAAGCACUUUUGGCUAGGAAGAACGGCGUGACCCUAAUACGGACGUCACUGACGUACCUGCAGAAUAAGCACCGGACUAAC
RNAcentral lists this ribosomal RNA (471 nucleotides) under uncultured soil bacterium. RNAcentral's name for it is "bacterial SSU rRNA". It matches the Rfam family "Bacterial small subunit ribosomal RNA", at positions 26 to 501 of the family's 1533-position model. The record is from RNAcentral.